This 630-nucleotide long non-coding RNA is filed under the name Homo sapiens (human). RNAcentral's name for it is "HSALNT0235412". Lineage: Eukaryota; Metazoa; Chordata; Mammalia; Primates; Hominidae. The record is from RNAcentral.
GCGAAUCUUUUUUAUAAGUUUUAAAAUGUUGCUUUUUGGUUUAUGGAGCAAUUUUCUUCCCCAUCUCCAGCAGCACCAGCCCCGAGUGGGCUCAUGACAUGGUGAGUCACGCCAACGUCGGCAAUGGAUUAUGAUCGCGCAAUAACUUGUUAAAGAACAAACUCACAUGAGCUUAAUUUAUGAAUACAAGGAAUGAGUGCCCUUCACAGGAGAGGCCCAUCAAUGGCUGAUUAGAUGCAAGACCCAACCUCUCCGCCCACUGCGAGACCCCGUCUCCUUAGGUGUGGGUGUGUCUGCAGGUGUGGGUGUGUCUGCAGGUGUGGCUGUGUCUCUGCAGGUGUGGGUGUGUCUGCAGGUGUGGGUGUGUCUGCAGGUGUGGGUAUGUCUCUGCAGGCGUGGCUGUGUCUCUGCAGAUGUGUUAUAUCUCAGCAGGUGUGGGUGUGUAUCCCCAGAGGUCGAAGCCCUGGUGCUGAGAUCUCCCAGGAGUGGUGGCACUGAGUAUCUGCCCAUCCUCUCUGGCUCUGGGCUGUUUCUGGCAUGGUCAGGCCCUGAGACCCUGCUGUAGGCCUUGUUUGGGGGUCUCUCCCUGCCUGGGCCUGGCUGCCUCUGCCCCGAGAUGCUUCUUCCAGA